Molecule: non-coding RNA, 86 nt
Organism: Acanthosepion pharaonis
Lineage: Eukaryota; Metazoa; Mollusca; Cephalopoda; Sepiida; Sepiidae
Source: the annotation of a GenBank genome assembly
GUCCCGUACGAUCAUCAAAGUUAAGCAACUUCGAGCCUGGUCAGUACCUAGAUAGGUGACCGCCCGAGAAUACAAUGUGCUGUAAG